CAAGUCAACUUUUCACAAUCCACCAUCAAACUUUUCCAACAAAAUAUUACCUAGCAUUGCUUGGGUGAUCGUGAGUGGCAUGAAAUUGCUUAAGCUGCUCCCACGUAAGCUCCGGGAUGCACAGUGGGUCACCCCCAGAGACCACUGAGUACGUGUGGUGGGGAAGAAAUCUGUUUUGAAGGUGCUGGGAGAAUAUCCUCUCAUUGUCUGUCUUGAAAUGUGAAGUAAAUAAAUAAGAAUAUGUACAUAUAAACUAAUACACACACACUACAUUACUUACAAUAUAGCCAAUCGAUCACAUUCUGGUGCAUAUGCCUGUAAUACUCUGCAAAUAAAACUGUUCUAAUGGUAAAAAAAAAAAAAACAAAAAAAAAAAAAAACCCACCCCUGCAGGCAUUGUUUAACACUGUAUUCAAUCACUCAUCACCCAUGCACAGGAUCCAAGGAUUGAGAACAAUGGACUUUUUGAUGUGUGUUGCAACAAACUCAUAGCGGAUGGCUGUAAAUCGGAGGGAUCACCAGGUCUGCCUACCAGCCACCAGGCAAGUGGGGAGAAGCUGUCACCCCAACUUGAGUUUCAAGAAGACUCCUUGGAAGAAAAGACCACCAAAUUGAGAAUGAAAAGAUCAUACGCGGGGGUCGUCAGACAUGGUCUGAGACUCUGGGAAGAACAGCAGCUUGGCCCUGCUACCCCCUGGCUUCUGCUCACAGCACUGACCCCAGCUAAUCCAAGAACAUGUCACCUAUAAUGAGAA
Molecule: non-coding RNA, 755 nt
Organism: Macaca mulatta (Rhesus monkey)
Lineage: Eukaryota; Metazoa; Chordata; Mammalia; Primates; Cercopithecidae
Source: RefSeq, a predicted model, not a curated record